AUUGAACGCUGGCGGCAUGCCUUACACAUGCAAGUCGAACGGCAGCGGGGACUUCGGUCCGCCGGCGAGUGGCGAACGGGUGAGUAAUGUAUCGGAACGUACCAUUGAGUGGGGGAUAACGUAGCGAAAGUUACGCUAAUACCGCAUAUUCUCUCCGGAGGAAAGCAGGGGACCGCAAGGCCUUGCGCUCUUUGAGCGGCCGAUAUCAGAUUAGCUAGUUGGUGGGGUAAAAGCUCACCAGGCGACGAUCUGUAGCGGGUCUGAGAGGAUGAUCCGCCACACUGGAACUGAGACACGGUCCAGACUCCUACGGGAGGCAGCAGUGGGGAAUUUUGGACAAUGGGGGCAACCCUGAUCCAGCCAUGCCGCGUGAGUGAAGAAGGCCUUCGGGUUGUAAAGCUCUUUCGGCCGGGAAAAAAUCGCAUGGGUUAAUACCCUGUGUGGAUGAUGGUACCGGAAUAAGAAGCACCAGCUAACUACGUGCCAGCCGCCGCCGUAA
RNAcentral lists this ribosomal RNA (499 nucleotides) under uncultured bacterium. RNAcentral's name for it is "partial 16S ribosomal RNA". It matches the Rfam family "Bacterial small subunit ribosomal RNA", at positions 30 to 523 of the family's 1533-position model. The record is from RNAcentral.